GGGGCGGGCGGCGAGGAGGCGGCGGCGGCAGCGACCGCGUUUAAUUUUUUAACGAGGGCGGCUCGACAGUUCCCGGCGGGGUCGCAGCGCCGGGCGGCGAGGGGAAGCGCGGCCGAGCCGCCCCCGCCGCCCGGGACCCCGCGCAGCCCCAGGGGCCGGAGCCGAGCCAGCCGUCGGGGCUCCCACCUGGGCUUCGGCCAGCCGUGCCCGGAGCUCCGCCGUCCGCCACCAUGGGCAACGCGGAGGAGACGGGCUAUAUCCAGAUCUUUUCUCCAACUUAACAGGAAUUAAAACAGUGUUGACCCAAAGGGCAGAACGUCAUUCCAAAGAAGGAUCACAUACAACUCUACAGAAUAGACUGUUGGUUGGUAUGCCCUAGAAAAUGUAUGCAGAAAGUAAUAGAAAAUCAUACUAUUUAAUACCUACUAUGUUGAGGGUUAACGCAUAAAGAGAAGAAGG
RNAcentral lists this long non-coding RNA (459 nucleotides) under Gallus gallus (chicken). Lineage: Eukaryota; Metazoa; Chordata; Aves; Galliformes; Phasianidae. The record is from RNAcentral.